This is a long non-coding RNA of Mugil cephalus (flathead mullet), 409 nucleotides long. RefSeq lists it as uncharacterized. NCBI's taxonomy places the organism in Eukaryota, Metazoa, Chordata, Actinopteri, Mugiliformes, Mugilidae. The record is from RefSeq and is a predicted model, not a curated record. The transcript is spliced from 3 exons.
AUGUACCAAAAGCCGGAUCUGACCGGAAGUGAUUGAGUGAGCGGUUUGUUUGGAAAAUCCUGAACGGAGCGAGUAGUGUUGUGAAGUUUAUAUGGAGUUGUAUGAUGUUUUGCCCGUUUUGUGGAAACCAUUUCAGCCUGUUACCGCGGUUUUGCAUUUCGUGUGGACGGUCUCUGGAGUUUUUAAAAGACACGGACCAGACGGAAGGACCAAGCGCACAGGGAACAGCUAAACAGCCGGAAAAUGCUAAACAAACAGAACAACCAUGCCCAUCAUAUAAACAGUUCAUGGAGUACAGAAGCACCAAGUCCAAAGAACGGCAGUCUUUUAACUGUGGGCCGAAAGAAAAACAUAAACAAGAAAAGAAAAACGUCCAGAUAAACAUAGGAUUGAUGGUGCCACAUGGAAC